UCUUCCUUGGCCGAACCACCAUAUCUUCGAAGCUUGAAAAACCCACUUGUGAUUUAGCUAUAGAAAUGGCUAGUUUCCUUCAUGAAAAGUGUUAAGCUAUGCAUAGAAAGUGAUGUCCACCUAUUAUUUUCCUCCUAGAAGCGUUAUGUAGGAAGAAAAUUCAUUCCUUAGUGUGCGGCACCAUUUUGUUUUUGGUGUUGUAAGAGUGUUUACUCACUUGGAAGCUUGCAAAGUCUUCAUUCCACACUUAAUUGAAGCUUUGAGAGUUGAACUAGUGGUGUGUUGGUGGAAGAUAAAUCAUUAGAGCCUUCCAUUGGUCAGAGUUUUGAUUCUUGAAUCUCUCAAGAAUAGGGUGCUCUUAGUGUGGAAAUUGGUGGUUUGAACUCUUAGACACAAAGAGAAUGAGAGCUUUGGAGGAUACACUUCAAGAGGAUUAAAGCAAGUGGACCAAGUGGAGUGACCAAUCCUUGUGGUUAUGUUCAAUUGAGAAAAGGAAAGCUUUGAGGAAAGUUCAAGAGCAAGGU
Molecule: long non-coding RNA, 524 nt
Organism: Gastrolobium bilobum
Lineage: Eukaryota; Viridiplantae; Streptophyta; Magnoliopsida; Fabales; Fabaceae
Exons: 4
Source: RefSeq, a predicted model, not a curated record